UAAACUACGAUUAGAUACCCUAUUAUUUUAAAUGUUAAAUAUAAGUACUUGAGUAGUAAUAGUUAUAUUCUUGAAACUCAAAGAAUUUGGCGGUGUUUUAGUCCUUUCAGAGGAACCUGUCCCAUAAUCGAUAGUCCACGUUAUACCUUACUUAAUUUAGUGAUCAGCUUGUAUACCGCCGUCGUCAGAAUGUCCUUAGAGGGAAUAAAUUUUCUUGAAUUUAAAUUAGAAAUGAUGUCAGGUCAAGGUGCAGUUAAUGGUUAAGUGGUGAUGGGUUACAAUAAAUGUAUUUAUUAUGGAUGAUGACUUGAAAUAGUUGUUUGAAGGUGGAUUUGAUGGUAAUUGUAUUAAGGUUGUUUAAUUGAUUUUGGCUCUAAAACAUGCACACAUCGCCCGUCGCUCUUA
Molecule: ribosomal RNA, 405 nt
Filed under: Pteronarcys scotti
Lineage: Eukaryota; Metazoa; Arthropoda; Insecta; Plecoptera; Pteronarcyidae
Description: partial 12S ribosomal RNA
Rfam family: Microsporidia small subunit ribosomal RNA (bases 51-405)
Source: RNAcentral